CCUACGGGUGGCAGCAGUAGGGAAUAUUCCACAAUGAGCGAAAGCCUGAUGGAGCGACACAGCGUGCAGGAUGAAGGUCUUCGGAUCGUAAAGCGCUGUUAUAAGGGAAGAACAUUCGCUAUAGGAAAUGAUAGCAGAUUGACGGUACCUUGUCAGAAAGCGACGGCUAACUACGUGCCAGCAGCCUCGGUAAUACAAAGGUGGCAAGCGUUAUCCGGAAUUAUUGGGCGUAAAGCGCUCGUAGGCUGUCUGUAAAGUCUGGGGUAAAAUCCCGGGGCUCAACCGCGGAUCGCUUUGGAAACUGGCAGACUAGAGUGAGAAAGAGGAAAGCGGAAUUCCAUGUGAAGCGGUGAAAUGCGUAGAUAUAUGGAAGAACACCAGAGGCGAAGGCGGCUUACUGGGUCUUUACUGACGCUGAGGGGCGAAAGCGUGGGGAGCAAACAGGAUUAGAUACCCGAGUAGUC
RNAcentral lists this ribosomal RNA (464 nucleotides) under uncultured bacterium. RNAcentral's name for it is "partial 16S ribosomal RNA". It matches the Rfam family "Bacterial small subunit ribosomal RNA", at positions 338 to 795 of the family's 1533-position model. The record is from RNAcentral.